RNAcentral lists this unclassified non-coding RNA (217 nucleotides) under Hevea brasiliensis (rubber tree). Lineage: Eukaryota; Viridiplantae; Streptophyta; Magnoliopsida; Malpighiales; Euphorbiaceae. The record is from RNAcentral.
ACCAAACUCUCUCAAUUCUCUCCAUUUUUCUUCAUACAGGUACAUGAGAAUGUUGGACACGGUUCUGUUGGUCCUUAAGCAUUGAAAUAAUCAAGAGCUGAUAUUGUUCUUUAUUUGGAAAGUUACAGAUUUAUAACAAGUUUUGUUUGUUUGGAGUAAUAGAAAAGACUCUUGAGGAAAUAUGAAAUUCUAGGGAGAGAUAGAGAGAGAGAGAGAG